UACGUAGGGGGCUAGCGUUGUCCGGAAUCAUUGGGCGUAAAGAGCGUGUAAGCGGCCCGGUAAGUCCGCUGUGAAAGUCGGGGGCUCAACCCUCGAAUGCCGGUGGAUACUGUCGGGCUAGAGUGCGGAAGAGGCGAGUGGAAUUCCUGGUGUAGCGGUGAAAUGCGCAGAUAUCAGGAGGAACACCAAUUGCGAAGGCAGCUCGCUGGGACGUAACUGACGCUGAGACGCGAAAGCGUGGGGAGCAAACAGG
This 253-nucleotide ribosomal RNA is filed under the name uncultured bacterium. Its description in RNAcentral is "partial 16S ribosomal RNA". It matches the Rfam family "Bacterial small subunit ribosomal RNA", at positions 524 to 776 of the family's 1533-position model. The record is from RNAcentral.